AUGCUCGAAAGUCUCCACGGUGAAAACAAGCUUCGCCGGCGUGUAAAUACCAAUUAGAGGGCUCCAUUCGUCGUCAUGUCUUGCUCCAUCGUCACCGGAAUCAGGCCUUGCCAUCGCGGAUCCAGAUAAAAGCUCUUCGAGAGAAACAAUUGCAACUCUUGCUUAUUUGCACACUUGGUCCUUAAACUUUCAGCUAUUCUCAUAGUGACCCCAAAACUCUUAGAUUUGCACGUAUGUCCUUUUGAAUCAGCCCCAAAACAAUUGAUGGACCACUAUAGACCUCUUUGUAAUUCCACGAUGGUCCCUUAUCUUUUGAUGAUUUUCAAAUCGGUCACAAACUUUGUAAAUUUCAAAGAUAACCUCACGAUUUCGUCCCAAACUUCUUAAAC
RNAcentral lists this long non-coding RNA (389 nucleotides) under Brassica napus (rape). RNAcentral's name for it is "long non-coding RNA (BNAP_LNC014462)". Lineage: Eukaryota; Viridiplantae; Streptophyta; Magnoliopsida; Brassicales; Brassicaceae. The record is from RNAcentral.